This is a long non-coding RNA of Gallus gallus (chicken), 1633 nucleotides long. The record is from Ensembl. Lineage: Eukaryota; Metazoa; Chordata; Aves; Galliformes; Phasianidae.
UUUGAAGGAGCUUUCUGAAACGUUACUGCUUGACUGAGAAAUCAGCUGCAUGUGGUGGGUUUUUGUUCACCUUCUCUCCAGCUGUAUCCAGUAAUCCCAGCUCCAUGGACUUGCUUGUACCUUUUGAGCUAAAUGCUGUAGCUAUGCUGCUAGUCCCUUGAAGUCCUAGCUGUGCUACAAGGGCAGCCCUGGGGUAUCUGCUCAUGGUUGUUCUAGCCCCAUUCUUGUGCAGGGCUGCUUUGAGCGAGGAUGGGCAACGUGGAGCUCCAGGGGCCUUUCUCCCAGAUUCCUCUUUUUCGUGCUUGGGCGAGCCGUGUGCCUGGGGACCCCAGCCAUGGAUGGUCCCAGAAACCUGAAGAAGGUGAUGGGAGCCUUGUCCUUUCAGCUAUUUCACCACUACCAUGAUCAUAUUCACAGCAUCACUUUGGACGUUUUGGGGCUGCAGCUGCACUUCCCACUUCUCUUAUAAACGUGUUGACCAAAGAAUUACAAGCCCUAUUCAACAUGACCUUUGCAGUUCCCGUCCUCCCUGUGCACACUUCCCACUAGACUUAUAUAUUCUUUUCUCCGGCUGUGUGGGUUAUUUUUUUCUUUCCUUUGAAAAAAAGAGGUGAUGGGGGGAGGGUCUGAAGAUAGCCUGGUGUUUAGUGGGGUCUCCGGGGGCACUGAGUGGCUCCAGCCUUAUCCAUAUGUUGGUAACUCCUGUAGUACAGCCAAUGAGAAGCGCCCCAGGGCCUUCAUUGCUGAGCAGCUUCCUGAAUACCUGGCUCAUGAAGUGCCGAAAUAAUCAUAACGAAUCAUUUAAUAUGUCAGAACACGGCAAUUACUCUCCACUUGAAUAAAAACUUGUCAUAAUUCUCCCUUCAAGGCAGCCGCCUUGGCCCCGAGGUCUGGGUGCUGAAGUUUGCUCGGUGUGCUGUUGUUUAUUUCUUUUUCCACACUGCUAUGAAUGGGUGGAAGUAAAAUAAAAUAAAAUAAAAAAAAACUUACUUAUAAGUUUUCAUAUGAAAAAAAUGAAGGAAAAAAAAGACUUUGGAAGCCAUGUCCGGACUCUGGAAAGGAGGGUGUAGAGAAGGGGGGAUGAAGGCCUGCCCUGCCAGGAUUUAGUGCAGGCCAACCCGCUGCUCCAUUACUGCCACUAGCAGCAUGACCCAUUUUCUACGUAACAAACCUGUGUGCAUGGCCCAAGAGAGACCGUGUGAGAAAGAAAGUUUUUUAAGCAUUGCUCUUUCAAACUGCUAAGGGUAGGGUUUGUCCACGAACAGUGGUGCUGUCUGCACCUGAGCGCCUCAGCUGGAGAGGGAUGAUGGCAUCUUUUUUUUCAAGAAGCUUUGAAAAUCCUUAGUGAACACGAGGGCAUCUUGACAUGGGUGAGUGCACCGAGCACUGUUAAACCAUAGCAUCGCUCAUGGUUUCAAAGUAAAGGUCAGAGGGUGAAAGGAAAGCACAUGCUUUUGGUUUUGAAAUGGCUGUCCAGAAUAGGGCCAGGUCUGUUGGUAGGGCGAUGGAAAUGUCUGUCUGUGGCGUGGGGCUGUUGAGCUGCUCUGUUUGCGCAGGCAUUAGACUUCAUGAGAGAGGAAACGAUCUAAAAAUGUUUCUCUCCCCCUACUGAAGGGGAUGUGUUCACAGGCUG